Molecule: long non-coding RNA, 378 nt
Filed under: Citrus maxima (pomelo)
Lineage: Eukaryota; Viridiplantae; Streptophyta; Magnoliopsida; Sapindales; Rutaceae
Description: long non-coding RNA (CMAX_LNC003563)
Source: RNAcentral
UAAAAAGUUAUGUAUUACCGUAGAAAAUAAUUAUAACAAAAAAGAUGGACGAAUUAUUGUUGUUGAGAAAUAAGGAAUUUUGCUAAGGAGAGCAGCAGAGCUGGAUUGAAAAGACAGGAGGAGGCCGGGGCCAAAGUUGGGGGUGAAGGCAAUCGCUCCCACGUUGCAAUUUGCAAAUCAUCAAACACCUUUUUUUUCCCCGAUUUGAUUUGAUUUGAUUUGAUUUUGAUUUGACAAAACCACACGACCCUCGCUCACCUUCACCUGGGGGGUUGCCGACUGAGGCCUUGACCGAUAGAUAACCCACACUCACAAUAAUAUUUUGAAACUUUUGCCCACCAGCACCAUUCUUCUCACUCGUCACCGAGCCAGCAAAAU